GGGCUAAUACCCGAUAACACUGACGCUCUGCGGAGUGUCUUUCAAAGAAGGCCUCUGUUUACAAGCUUUCACCGGAGGAUGAGCCCGCGUACCAUUAGCUAGUUGGCAGGGUAAUGGCCUACCAAGGCUAUGACGGGUAGCUGGUCUGAGAGGACGAUCAGCCACACUGGGACUGAGACACGGCCCAGACUCCUACGGGAGGCAGCAGUGGGGAAUAUUGGGCAAUGGGCGAAAGCCUGACCCAGCGACGCCGCGUGGGCGAUGAAGGCCUUCGGGUUGUAAAGCCCUGUCAUGCGGAAAGAACGACCCUGAGACGCAUACUCUCAGGGAGUGACGGUACCGCAGGAGGAAGCACCGGCUAACUCCGUGCCAGCAGCCGCGGUAAUACGGAGGGUGCAAGCGUUGUUCGGAAUUAUUGGGCGUAAAGGGCGCGUAGGCGGUAAUGCAAGUCAGAUGUGAAAUACUCCGGCUCAACUGGGGAACUGCAUCUGAAACUGCAUAACUAGAGUACAGAAGAGGGAAACGGAAUUCCCGGUGUAGAGGUGAAAUUCGUAGAUAUCGGGAGGAACACCAGUGGCGAAGGCGGUUUCCUGGUCUGAUACUGACGCUGAGGCGCGAAAGUGUGGGGAGCAAACAGGAUUAGAUACCCUGGUAGUCCACACUGUAAACGGUGAACACUAGGUGUGGGAGGUGUAAUACCUUCCG
Molecule: ribosomal RNA, 705 nt
Filed under: uncultured bacterium
Lineage: Bacteria
Description: bacterial SSU rRNA
Rfam family: Bacterial small subunit ribosomal RNA
Source: RNAcentral